Molecule: ribosomal RNA, 494 nt
Filed under: uncultured bacterium
Lineage: Bacteria
Description: partial 16S ribosomal RNA
Rfam family: Bacterial small subunit ribosomal RNA
Source: RNAcentral
GACGAACGCUGGCGGCGUGCUUUAGGCAUGCAAGUCGAACGCGAAAGCCCCUUCGGGGGUGAGUAGAGUGGCGAACGGGUGAGUAACACGUGGGUAACCUGCCCCUCGCAGGGGGAUAACCGGGGGAAACCCCGGCUAAUACCCCGUACGCUUGCUGGGGCGCAUGCUCCGGCAAGGAAAGGUAGCUUCGGCCAUCCGGCGAGGGAGGGGCCCGCGGCCCAUUGGCUAGUUGGUGGGGUAACGGCCCACCAAGGCGACGAUGGGUAGCUGGCCUGAGAGGGUGGUCAGCCACACUGGGACUGAGACACGGCCCAGACUCCUACGGGAGGCAGCAGCCAGGAAUCUUGCGCAAGGGGCGAAAGCCUGACGCAGCAACGCCGCGUGGGCGAUGAAGGCCUUCGGGUCGUAAAGCCCUGUUGUCGGGGACGAAGGGCGAAGGGUUAAUAGCCCCUAGCCUGACGGUACCCGACGAGGAAGCCCCGGCUAACUACGUG